UCUAAAUUUUCUUCGCCUAAUAGCAUUUUUCACUUGUAGUAGCAUGCGGUUCCUGAGAAAUAGAAACAAAAUUUUGGUGCUAUCUUAACACAAAAUGAGGAUAAUUUUUGAAUUUUCAGAAGUGUGGUGUUCGUGUGCUUUGGUUUGAAAUGGUACAAGGAUAUACAAAGGCAUGAAAGAUAGUUGGAACAACUUUACCAAUGUUCUUGUUG
RNAcentral lists this unclassified non-coding RNA (212 nucleotides) under Hevea brasiliensis (rubber tree). Lineage: Eukaryota; Viridiplantae; Streptophyta; Magnoliopsida; Malpighiales; Euphorbiaceae. The record is from RNAcentral.